This 253-nucleotide ribosomal RNA is filed under the name uncultured bacterium. Its description in RNAcentral is "partial 16S ribosomal RNA". It matches the Rfam family "Bacterial small subunit ribosomal RNA", at positions 524 to 776 of the family's 1533-position model. The record is from RNAcentral.
UACGUAGGGGGCUAGCGUUGUCCGGAUUUAUUGGGCGUAAAGAGCGUGUAGGCGGCCUGGUAGGUCUGCUGUGAAAACUCGAGGCUCAACCUCGAGAUGUCGGCGGAAACCAUCUGGCUAGAGUCCGGAAGAGGAGAGUGGAAUUCCUGGUGUAGCGGUGAAAUGCGCAGAUAUCAGGAGGAACACCGGUGGCGAAGGCGGAUCUCUGGGCCGAUACUGACGCUGAGGAGCGAAAGCGUGGGGAGCGAACAGG